RNAcentral lists this ribosomal RNA (497 nucleotides) under uncultured bacterium. RNAcentral describes it as "partial 16S ribosomal RNA". It matches the Rfam family "Bacterial small subunit ribosomal RNA", at positions 28 to 507 of the family's 1533-position model. The record is from RNAcentral.
GAUGAACGCUGGCGGCGUGCCUAAUACAUGCAAGUCGAGCGAACAGAUAAGGAGCUUGCUCCUUUGACGUUAGCGGCGGACGGGUGGGUAACACGUGGGUAACCUACCUAUAAGACUGGGAUAACUUCGGGAAACCGGAGCUAAUACCGGAUAACAUUUGGAACCGCAUGGUUCUAAAGUGAAAGAUGGUUUUGCUAUCACUUAUAGAUGGACCCGCGCCGUAUUAGCUAGUUGGUAAGGUAACGGCUUACCAAGGCGACGAUCCGUAGCCGACCUGAGAGGGUGAUCGGCCACACUGGAACUGAGACACGGUCCAGACUCCUACGGGAGGCAGCAGUGGGGAAUAUUGCGCAAUGGGCGAAAGCCUGACGGAGCAACGCCGCGUGAGUGAUGAAGGGUUUCGGGUUGUAAAACUCUGUUAUUAGGGAAGAACAAAAGUGUAAGUAACUGUGCACGUCUUGACGGUACCUAAUCAGAAAGCCACGGCUAACUACGUG